CAGGUGGAGAGGGACAUUACGGUGACCCCGGUUUACCACCGGGAUGUUCAUAACCCUUUGUUGUCCGACUCUGUUGCCUCCGGGGCGACCCUGCCUUCGGGCGGGGGCUCCGGGUGGACACUUCAAACUCUUGCGUAACUUUGCAGUCUGAGUAAACUUAAUUAAUAAAUUAAAACUUUUAACAACGGAUCUCUUGGUUCUGGCAUCGAUGAAGAACGCAGCGAAAUGCGAUAAGUAAUGUGAAUUGCAGAAUUCAGUGAAUCAUCGAAUCUUUGAACGCACAUUGCGCCCCCUGGUAUUCCGGGGGGCAUGCCUGUUCGAGCGUCAUUUCACCACUCAAGCCUCGCUUGGUAUUGGGCAACGCGGUCCGCCGCGUGCCUCAAAUCGACCGGCUGGGUCUUCUGUCCCCUAAGCGUUGUGGAAACUAUUCGCUAAAGGGUGUUCGGGAGGCUACGCCGUAAAACAACCCCAUUUCUAAGGUUGACCUCGGAUCAGGUAGGGAUACC
Molecule: ribosomal RNA, 506 nt
Filed under: Cladosporium sp. PE101
Lineage: Eukaryota; Fungi; Ascomycota; Dothideomycetes; Cladosporiales; Cladosporiaceae
Description: eukaryotic LSU rRNA
Rfam family: 5.8S ribosomal RNA (bases 174-327)
Source: RNAcentral